UAUGGUGUGUGCCAGCAGCCGCGGUAAUACGGAGGAUGCGAGCGUUAUCCGGAUUUAUUGGGUUUAAAGGGAGCGCAGACGGGUCGUUAAGUCAGCUGUGAAAGUUUGGGGCUCAACCUUAAAAUUGCAGUUGAUACUGGCGUCCUUGAGUGCGGUUGAGGUGUGCGGAAUUCGUGGUGUAGCGGUGAAAUGCUUAGAUAUCACGAAGAACUCCGAUUGCGAAGGCAGCACACUAAUCCGUAACUGACGUUCAUGCUCGAAAGUGUGGGUAUCAAACAGG
This 280-nucleotide ribosomal RNA is filed under the name Phocaeicola plebeius DSM 17135. Its description in RNAcentral is "partial 16S ribosomal RNA". It matches the Rfam family "Bacterial small subunit ribosomal RNA", at positions 497 to 776 of the family's 1533-position model. Lineage: Bacteria; Pseudomonadati; Bacteroidota; Bacteroidia; Bacteroidales; Bacteroidaceae. The record is from RNAcentral.